CUCAGACGACAUCACAGAGGAACAGAGGACCUCUCUGGGUGACACUGAGGCCCACUGGGGCAAGCAGUGGUUACUGUUGGGGAGUGGGUGCUUCCUAGAGUUUUCCAAGGGACCCAUGGGGUCUGGCAGGGGGCCAGCAUUUCGUUGUGCAUGAACAGGCAACAGAGGCAAGUUCUAUCUCUGCAGUUUGGAGGUGUGUCAAGGCAGGGAAACUCAUUUCCAUUAGCAGCAGUUGGGUAUGCGCUGAGAUGCAGCGUAUGGAUGACCCAGAGGCCCCAGCAGUGGAAGUUGCCUCCCACCAUUACCAUCACUCCAGGCACCUCUGGGGAGCGUUCCCUCUGCUCCGAUACCUGUUCAGGGCUGCAGCCCUGCUCCUCCCCAGCUCUGGGAUCCUCUGCCAUUGGCUUCUCAACUGCUCUCAUUUCAAAUAAAAAUAAAUAAUAAUCA
Ochotona princeps (American pika) is the source of this 447-nucleotide long non-coding RNA. RefSeq lists it as uncharacterized. The transcript has 2 exons. The record is from RefSeq and is a predicted model, not a curated record. NCBI's taxonomy places the organism in Eukaryota, Metazoa, Chordata, Mammalia, Lagomorpha, Ochotonidae.